RNAcentral lists this non-coding RNA (26 nucleotides) under Mus musculus (house mouse). The record is from RNAcentral. Lineage: Eukaryota; Metazoa; Chordata; Mammalia; Rodentia; Muridae.
GAGAUGAGCUGCUGGCCUGAUGGCAA